GGGGUUGUGGCUCAGUGGUAGAGCGCUUUCCUCGAAGGUUCGAGACCCUGGGUUUGAACCUCAGCACCACA
Molecule: transfer RNA, 71 nt
Filed under: Marmota monax (woodchuck)
Lineage: Eukaryota; Metazoa; Chordata; Mammalia; Rodentia; Sciuridae
Description: tRNA.Ser
Source: RNAcentral